CCUACGGGUGGCAGCAGUCGAGAAUCAUUCACAAUGGGGGAAACCCUGAUGGUGCGACGCCGCGUGGGGGAAUGAAGGUCUUCGGAUUGUAAACCCCUGUCAUGUGGGAGCAAAUUAAAAAGAUAGUACCACAAGAGGAAGAGACGGCUAACUCUGUGCCAGCAGCCGCGGUAAUACAGAGGUCUCAAGCGUUGUGCGGAAUCACUGGGCGUAAAGCGUGCGUAGGCUGUUUGGUAAGUCGUGUGUGAAAGGCGCGGGCUCAACGUGCGAACGGCACAUGAUACUGCGAGACUAGAGUAAGGGAGGGGGAACCGGAAGUCUCGGUGUAGCAGUGAAAUGCGUAGAUAGCGAGAGGAACACUCGUGGCGAAGGCGGGUUCCUGGACAUUAACUGACGCUGAGGCACGAAGGCCAGGGGAGCGAAAGGGAUUAGAUACCCGGGUAGUC
This 446-nucleotide ribosomal RNA is filed under the name uncultured bacterium. RNAcentral's name for it is "partial 16S ribosomal RNA". It matches the Rfam family "Bacterial small subunit ribosomal RNA", at positions 338 to 795 of the family's 1533-position model. The record is from RNAcentral.